RNAcentral lists this ribosomal RNA (497 nucleotides) under uncultured bacterium. RNAcentral describes it as "partial 16S ribosomal RNA". It matches the Rfam family "Bacterial small subunit ribosomal RNA", at positions 28 to 507 of the family's 1533-position model. The record is from RNAcentral.
GAUGAACGCUGGCGGCGUGCCUAAUACAUGCAAGUCGAGCGAACGGACGAGAAGCUUGCUUUUCUGACGUUAGCGGCGGACGGGUGUGUAACACGUGGAUCACCCACCUAUAAGACUGGGAUAACCUCGGGACACCGGCGCUAACACCGGAUAAUAUUUUGAACCGCAUGGUUCAAAAGUGAAAGACGGUCUUGCUGUAACGUAUAGAUGGAUCCGCGCUGCAUUAGCUAGUUGGUAAGGUCACGGCUUACCAAGGCAACGAUGCGUAGCCGACCGGAGAGGGUGGUCGGCCACACUGGAACGGAGACGCGGUCCAGGGGCCUACGGGAGGCAGCAGUAGGGUAUCGUCCGCAAUGGGCGGGAGCCUGACGGAGCGACGCCGCGUGAGUGAUGAAAGUCUUGGGAUCGUAAAACUCUGUUAUGAGGGAAGAACAGAUGUGUAAGUAACUGUGCACAUCGUGACGGUACCUAAUCAAAAAGCCACGGCUAACUACGUG